RNAcentral lists this ribosomal RNA (715 nucleotides) under Globodera sp. CC1. RNAcentral describes it as "eukaryotic LSU rRNA". It matches the Rfam family "Eukaryotic large subunit ribosomal RNA", at positions 358 to 909 of the family's 3401-position model. Lineage: Eukaryota; Metazoa; Nematoda; Chromadorea; Rhabditida; Heteroderidae. The record is from RNAcentral. RNAcentral also lists the same sequence under 1 other name.
GGAAAGUUGCAAAGCACUUUGAAGAGAGAGUUAAAGAGGACGUGAAACCGAUGGGAUGGAAACGGACAGAGCUGGCGUAUCUGGUCUGCAUUCAUCCGUGUGUUCUUGGACGUUUGGAUUGCCACUCUCCAGACUGGGAUGGUGUUCAUUCUGUUCAGGGGCUCAUGGAGCAUUUGCAGGCGGAGUGCGCUGAGAUGCUCGGAGCAGCUGCAUGAGCUUGGCUUUGAGGCCAGCCCUUCGGGGUCUGGUACCCGGGCUGUGGGAGUGCUGUUUGUUCUGGGUGCUGAGUGUGUGCAAUGGCAACGGGUCCGUGUUGGUUUGAGCUGGCGGUCGGUGGCGGUCGCGUGCGACACGUGCCAGCAGUCAGUUCGGUCCUGCUCGGGCUCUCAUUGCAUGUUCUCGGUGUAAAAGCCGGUCAUCUGUCCGACCCGUCUUGAAACACGGACCAAGGAGUUUAGCGUGUGCGCGAGUCAUUGGGAGUUGAAAACCCAAGGGCGUAAUGAAAGUGAAGGUCUCCUUGCGGAGCUGAUGUGUGAUCUCGUGCACUCCGGUGUGCGGGCGCAACAUAGUCCCGUCCCGAUCGCAUGCGAUGGGGCGGAGACAGAGCGUACGCGCUGAGACCCGAAAGAUGGUGAACUAUUCCUGAGCAGGAUGAAGCCAGAGGAAACUCUGGUGGAAGUCCGAAGCGAUUCUGACGUGCAAAUCGAUCGUCUGA